Molecule: ribosomal RNA, 468 nt
Filed under: uncultured bacterium
Lineage: Bacteria
Description: partial 16S ribosomal RNA
Rfam family: Bacterial small subunit ribosomal RNA
Source: RNAcentral
GACGAACGCUGGCGGCGUGCUUAACACAUGCAAGUCGAACGGAAAGGCCCUGCUGUUGUGGGGUGCUCGAGUGGCGAACGGAUGAGUAACACGUGAGUAACCUGCCCUUGACUUUGGGAUAACUUCAGGAAACUGGGGCUAAUACCGGAUAGGAGCUCCUGCGGCAUGGUGGGGGUUGGAAAGUUUCGGCGGUUGGGGAUGGACUCGCGGCUUAUCAGCUUGUUGGUGGGGUAGUGGCUUACCAAGGCUUUGACGGGUAGCCGGCCUGAGAGGGUGACCGGCCACAUUGGGACUGAGAUACGGCCCAGACUCCUACGGGAGGCAGCAGUGGGGAAUAUUGCACAAUGGGCGGAAGCCUGACGCAGCAACGCCGCGUGCGGGAUGACGGCCUUCGGGUUGUAAACCGCUUUCGCCUGUGACGAAGCGUGAGUGACGGUAAUGGGUAAAGAAGCACCGGCUAACUACGUG